Molecule: long non-coding RNA, 231 nt
Filed under: Elaeis guineensis (African oil palm)
Lineage: Eukaryota; Viridiplantae; Streptophyta; Magnoliopsida; Arecales; Arecaceae
Description: long non-coding RNA (EGUI_LNC031984)
Source: RNAcentral
GGGUGUGCAUGGUCAGAUCUGGUUGGUUUGGAGCUAAAUAGGAAAUCAAAACCGGUUCAAACCGGUUUUCUAACACUGAAAUUAAAAAGACCAUAUAUAUAUAUAUAUAUAAGAAUUUUUUUACAUACAUAUCCUCCUAAAUAUUAAAAUUUACAUGAAUAUCUUUUUAAAAUUGAUAUUUAUAUGUAUAUUCUUAUAAAAUAUUUAUUUCGUGUGUCUAUCCUUUUAUUU